RNAcentral lists this ribosomal RNA (261 nucleotides) under uncultured archaeon. RNAcentral's name for it is "partial 16S ribosomal RNA". It matches the Rfam family "Archaeal small subunit ribosomal RNA", at positions 748 to 1009 of the family's 1478-position model. The record is from RNAcentral.
CAGCCGUAAACUAUGCUCGCUAGGUGUCAGGCAUGGCGCGACCGUGUCUGGUGCCGCAGGGAAGCCGUGAAGCGAGCCACCUGGGAAGUACGGCCGCAAGGCUGAAACUUAAAGGAAUUGGCGGGGGAGCACCGCAACGGGAGGAGCGUGCGGUUUAAUUGGAUUCAACACCGUAAAACUCACCAGGGAAGACUGUUACAUGAAGGCCGAGAUGAAGACUCUGCUAGAUUUUCAGAGAGGAGGUGCAUGGCGUAGACGUCU